UAGCUAGUAGGUGGGGUAAUGGCUCACCUAGGCGACGAUCCCUAGCUGGUCUGAGAGGAUGACCAGCCACACUGGAACUGAGACACGGUCCAGACUCCUACGGGAGGCAGCAGUGGGGAAUAUUGCACAAUGGGCGCAAGCCUGAUGCAGCCAUGCCGCGUGUAUGAAGAAGGCCUUCGGGUUGUAAAGUACUUUCAGCGGGGAGGAAGGUGUUGUGGUUAAUAACCGCAGCAAUUGACGUACCCGCAGAAGAAG
RNAcentral lists this ribosomal RNA (255 nucleotides) under uncultured bacterium. RNAcentral describes it as "partial 16S ribosomal RNA". It matches the Rfam family "Bacterial small subunit ribosomal RNA", at positions 242 to 490 of the family's 1533-position model. The record is from RNAcentral.